RNAcentral lists this ribosomal RNA (395 nucleotides) under uncultured eubacterium HRS-15. RNAcentral's name for it is "partial 16S ribosomal RNA". The record is from RNAcentral. Lineage: Bacteria; Pseudomonadati; Pseudomonadota; Gammaproteobacteria.
CACCCAGUCGCUGACCCUACCGUGGUCGCCUGCCUCCUUGCGGUUAGCGAAACGCCUUCGGGUAAAACCAACUCCCAUGGUGUGACGGGCGGUGUGUACAAGGCCCGGGAACGUAUUCACCGCAGCGUGCUGAUCUGCGAUUACUACCGAUUCCNACUUCAUGCACUCGANUUGCANAGUGCAAUCCGAACUGANACGGCUUUUCGAGAUUUGCUCAGGGUCNCCCCCUUGCAUCCCGUUGUCACCGCCAUUGUAGCACGUGUGUAGCCCAGCCUGUAAGGGCCAUGAGGACUUGACGUCAUCCCCACCUUCCUCCGGCUUAUCACCGGCAGUCCCCCUANAGUGCCCAACUUAAUGAUGGCAACUAAGGGCGANGGUUGCGCUCGUUGCGGGAC